GUGCUCGCUUCGGCAGCACAUAUACUAAAAUUGGAAGGAUACAGAGAAGAUUAGCAUGGCCUCUGCAU
RNAcentral lists this small nuclear RNA (68 nucleotides) under Calypte anna (Anna's hummingbird). The record is from RNAcentral. Lineage: Eukaryota; Metazoa; Chordata; Aves; Apodiformes; Trochilidae.